This 497-nucleotide ribosomal RNA is filed under the name uncultured bacterium. Its description in RNAcentral is "partial 16S ribosomal RNA". It matches the Rfam family "Bacterial small subunit ribosomal RNA", at positions 28 to 507 of the family's 1533-position model. The record is from RNAcentral.
GAUGAACGCUGGCGGCGUGCCUAAUACAUGCAAGUCGAGCGAACGGACGAGAAGCUUGCUUCUCUGAUGUUAGCGGCGGACGGGUGAGUAACACGUGGAUAACCUACCUAUAAGACUGGGAUAACUUCGGGAAACCGGAGCUAAUACCGGAUAAUAUUUUGAACCGCAUGGUUCAAAAGUGAAAGACGGUCUUGCUGUCACUUAUAGAUGGAUCCGCGCUGCAUUAGCUAGUUGGUAAGGUAACGGCUUACCAAGGCAACGAUGCAUAGCCGACCUGAGAGGGUGAUCGGCCAGACUGGCACUGAGACACGGUCCCGACUCCUACGGGAGGCAGCAGUAGGGAAUCUUCCGCAAUGGGCGAAAGCCUGACGGAGCAACGCCGCGUGAGUGAUGAAGGUCUUCGGAUCGUAAAACUCUGUUAUUAGGGAAGAACAUAUGUGUAAGUAACUGUGCACAUCUUGACGGUACCUAAUCAGAAAGCCACGGCUAACUACGUG